RNAcentral lists this small nucleolar RNA (84 nucleotides) under Callorhinchus milii (elephant shark). Its description in RNAcentral is "Small nucleolar RNA SNORD74 (ENSCMIG00000001749.1)". The record is from RNAcentral. Lineage: Eukaryota; Metazoa; Chordata; Chondrichthyes; Chimaeriformes; Callorhinchidae.
AGGGCACCACUAUGAUGAGAUGAUGUUGGUAGGGACAUCUGAUACUUGAUGAUAAUCCAACAUCCUGAGUGUUAAUCUGGCCCU